GUGCGUAACGCGUAUACAAUCUGCCUUUCACUGGGGGAUAGCCCGAAGAAAUUUGGAUUAAUACCCCAUAGUAUAGUAAUACGGCAUCGUGAUGCUAUUAAAGCUUAGGUGGUGAAAGAUGAGUAUGCGUUCUAUUAGCUAGUUGGAGAGGUAACGGCUCCCCAAGGCGAUGAUAGAUAGGGGUUCUGAGAGGGAUGUCCCCCACACUGGUACUGAGAUACGGACCAGACUCCUACGGGAGGCAGCAGUGAGGAAUAUUGGACAAUGGUCGGAAGACUGAUCCAGCCAUGCCGCGUGCAGGAUGAAGGUCUUAUGGAUUGUAAACUGCU
This 329-nucleotide ribosomal RNA is filed under the name Capnocytophaga sp. AHN10043. RNAcentral's name for it is "bacterial SSU rRNA". It matches the Rfam family "Bacterial small subunit ribosomal RNA", at positions 106 to 434 of the family's 1533-position model. Lineage: Bacteria; Pseudomonadati; Bacteroidota; Flavobacteriia; Flavobacteriales; Flavobacteriaceae. RNAcentral also lists the same sequence under 1 other name. The record is from RNAcentral.